This 415-nucleotide unclassified non-coding RNA is filed under the name Ayapana lanceolata. RNAcentral's name for it is "partial contains external transcribed spacer and 18S ribosomal RNA". The record is from RNAcentral. Lineage: Eukaryota; Viridiplantae; Streptophyta; Magnoliopsida; Asterales; Asteraceae.
UUGGUUUGUUAUUGGUGGUCGGCUCAAUUGCUUGUGCAACAACUUCCACCUGGCAUGCCCUAUUCAUUCGUGUGUUCAGGCUUAAAUUGCUUGAAAAAUUGUGGGUUUUAUGUGUUGCCUACCAAUCCUACGGUAUUGAUUUGGCUUAUCCAAGUCUUGUUCGUCUUUCGUCAUGCUUAUGAAAUCAGAUGAACCCUAAACCUGUCUCUUUGAACCACAACAUUAACGCUUGUGUUGAUGAAGUGGCGCAUUGAGCCUUGGUUGGUCUCUUCGAUGUGGUACCCAAUGUGGGCAUGGGUCUCAUGGAUCCUUGUUAUGUCCCUGUUUAGUGUUUAUGCUCCCUAAAAUGACAGGUUUGACACGUGUUGCCUUGUAACAGCGUGUCGGGUUUUGUCUAAGAGGAAAGUUACCUGGU